AACGCACGAGACCUGCGGACCUGCGGAGGAUCAUUACAGAGUUUAGGGUCUCAUGGUGGCCCAAACCUCCAACCCCCUUGGUGUCUACUAUCCUGUUGCUUCGGCAGGUUCCAAUGGUGCCUGUCGAAGCCUUGCAAUAAAAAUCACCAUGAAUGUUAGUCUGAACUUUUAGAAUAUUGAAUUUAAAUAAAAACUUUCAGCAACGGAUCUCU
RNAcentral lists this unclassified non-coding RNA (212 nucleotides) under soil metagenome. RNAcentral describes it as "partial contains 5.8S ribosomal RNA, internal transcribed spacer 2, and large subunit ribosomal RNA". The record is from RNAcentral.